UGCCAGACAAUGUACGAUAGAGAACUGAAAAGAUGAUCAUCGAAAUAAACGCGGGACUGAUUGGUUGUUUCUGCUAGGUCCAACGCAAUCAUAAAGAUAAGUAUGCAUAUUAGCCAAAAAUGUGACGUAUACAAAAAGAACCAUAUAGCAAUGCAGUACUUUCACUGUCAUUGUGCUAUCCCGCUAAUUAUUUUUCCACCUGUGUUGGUACAUACAUCCACAGCUUUUCCGUGGACAACGUAUACCGAUUGGUCGCGGACAAUUGUCUGUCGGUAUGAACUAGGCUUCAGUGAACCCAGCAAAAGCUCGACUCGAUCUCCCGACCACAAUCUGUCGACUCUCCACAACCCAUAACAAUUGCCGUGUAUGCGAUCCUGUUUCCACGGCGGCAGCGGGCGACGACGGCGUCUGCGUGGCGUCAGCUGGGCGUGCCAUCUUGCACGUCUGCGUCCGUCUGCCCAUGGUAUCAGGGUGCCACGCUACCUAAGAAGCUACUUAACUCCCUCUAACGAACCAAGAGACAAGCCAACAAAACCCGAUAAGUAACAGGAGUUUCGCAGUUGGAUGAACACAGUCCGAACAUUCACGACCGAAGAAGCCAAACGAGGAACGUGAAACGACGAAGGAGGUGUUCUCUGUUCAGGAACAAGAAAGGAGGCGACGAACGAAGGGGUAAGCGGACAGAGAAUGAGUCGAGGGGAGUGAUGAUUUGGUGGAACCAAACCGGUGCUGCCAGUGCUGUCGCGACGAGGAGAGUGUCACGCUCUCUCUGCUGUGCGUGGAAGAAACGAGGAGAGGGUCGCGCUUCGAGCAAGGCGACAGGAACGCCAGGAAGUAACACGCUUGCUAUUGUGAGCAACCAGUACCACUUUGGCGGCUCUUUUUGCCUUCAUGCUGGGAUUAUUAGGAGAAAAGCGAGUCUGUCUCGUUGUUCGGCAAUAGGAGGUGGCGUUGGAGAGUCUGGAUCGAAGAGAAGGUGGUGGAGGAUUGAAAGUAUACUGGCAAGACUGGAAAGGGAUUUUUUGAGAGAUUUUCGGGAAGUUUUACAAUUACAUUUCGAUUACUUUAAACGAACAGCAUACAGGAUAUUGUGAUUCAAAAUUACUACAGAUUAUCUCCUUUGGACCUUUAAAUAUCAAUAUUUCCAUAUGAACCGCUCUCGUGAACUCACAAGAAAAUUAUGACAUUGAAGAGGUUUUAUGAAAUUGCGCUGACCCAGUUUCCACUUUCCUUGUACACGAUUGGAUUGAAUGGCGUCUCGUGGAUUGAUCCUAGUUUAAUGGGGACAGGUACUAUCGUCGCAAGAAUCUAUGCGUGGCAUUUGGGAAACGUGUACCUCUUGACGCUUGGAACAGGUGCCAUACCUACUUCUUUAACGAAAAGACAGUAAAGAUAGUCGGAAAACUUGUUAACCAAAAGCCAAUAACAUUUUACUUGGCUGGCUUAUUUGAAUUGGUAAACUCAGUUUCGAUGGAAAAGCCAAAGUGGAAAAUCGUGGCUAGGCGAAACUAAAAACGUAGCCGGUUCCAUCGGAGACAGUGGCACGGUGUGUCAGUGACCCUGCGGUCGAGGCUGCUGCAGCAGGAAAACGCGAAACCGCCGCGCGGGUAGAUAUCGAUUUGUCUGUGUUCGCUAGGAAAAAAAGUUGGCCGGCCUUCUGACGUUCGCCGCUGAUAUUGCCCGCAGUUCACGCUGACGUGCCAUUUACUCACUCGAACGACCUCCUCACGGCCGUUCGUUCUACCUCCUGCCGUUCCACCUCCUCAUCAGCGUUCCACGAUCGUUCGUUUUAUCGAGGAAGCUCAGGAUGAAAGAUAAUAUCGAGACUGAUUAAAUAUAGCAGAACGUUCCAGCAAGAUUUUCGUCCUUUUAAUGGGAAUACGGGAAUACGAGAAGAGAAAUAUUGGAAUCUUUCGACUUGCGACGGAUCUUAACUCUUUGGCGCAUGGAUGAAUAUGAUCUUUGUUUGAGAGAACAACGCUUGGAUAGGAAAGGAAAAGGCGUAACUACAAGACUGUCUUCUUUUCUUAAACACGGACACAAAUUGCCCAUUGUGCGAUAAUUACACUGAUACAUUGGAGUAAGGCAAUGACGUAAUAAUUGCAAAUGCAAUUCUCAAAAGUCCCACCAUUCGUAAACGUCUCGUCUCCAUCGAAGCAAACCGAGCAAUCUGUUUGUUACCUUUUCUACGACAUUUCCAACAAGUUAGAAAAAUUUACCAAAUGUCCAGCUGGAUAAAUUGUAAAGUACAAAUUAAAUAAAUAAAAACAAAAUUUCCAACAUACAGCAGCUUAUAGAAACAUUUUGUCCACACUGAAGCAACGUAAUCUGCAGCUGCAUUCGCACUGAAGCGACAACGAGGAAUUUUUUGUCGCUUUUUGUUGUUACGUGUUUCGGGACAUUGCCAACGAACAGUAACUUAUAGAAAUAAUUUCUGUACACCGGUGCAGGAUUUCAGUAAACAUGGAACAGCAAGAAGUUGCUUAAUGUCGCUUCAAUGGAGACGAGGCUUAACACGUUUGCUACCAGCGACAUAUGUGUGUAUUUUUUAAUACUUCGCGAUUAGCGCAGAUUUAAUUUUAGUCACUUGGAUUCAAGCGAUUUGAAGUCAUCGCUAAUGAGAACAAGCGUAUACAGAAACUUGGAAAGAUAUUUCAAGCCAAAUAGCAAGUUUACAUCGGUAAAAUGAUUGUAAUUUUAACUUGCUUGAAUGUAAAUAACAAAACGACCAGAUAGUAGAUUAAAUUGUAGUAGAUUAAGUCAUCUGAAUGAAGCUUUGUAAAGUAAAAAGUAUUGACCUUGAAGCAGAUUCUUUUCUUAUCAAGUUCUACAUUUCAUUUUUAAAGUAUCAAGUUUCUUUAGUCACGUGCCAGUACUAUCAAAUGACAUGAAAUUUAAUAAGCUUGGACCAAAUUAAUUAAUACCUGUGUAGAUACUAUAACAAAUACAAUGAUAUGCCAAGUCCUUUUCCA
Bombus pascuorum is the source of this 2972-nucleotide long non-coding RNA. RefSeq lists it as uncharacterized. The record is from RefSeq and is a predicted model, not a curated record. The transcript is spliced from 6 exons. Lineage: Eukaryota; Metazoa; Arthropoda; Insecta; Hymenoptera; Apidae.